This 433-nucleotide ribosomal RNA is filed under the name uncultured bacterium. RNAcentral describes it as "partial 16S ribosomal RNA". It matches the Rfam family "Bacterial small subunit ribosomal RNA", at positions 29 to 507 of the family's 1533-position model. The record is from RNAcentral.
AACGAACGCUGGCGGCAUGCCUAACACAUGCAAGUCGAACGAGACCUUCGGGCUUAGUGGUGCACGGGUGGGUAACGCGGGGGAACCUGCCCAGAGGUUCGGAUUAACUCCCGGGAAGGGGUGCUAAUACGGGAUAAAAUAUUGGAUCCAAAGAUUUGGCGCCUUUGGGUGGGCCUGCGUUGCAUUGGCAUGUUGGUAGCGUAAAAGGCUCCAACGGGGACGAUCCAUAGCUGGGCUGUGAGGAUGGUAAGCCACACUGGGACGGGGACACGGCCCGGACUCCUAGGGAAUGCAGGAGUGGCGAAUAUUGCACAGUGGGGGAAGGCCUGAUCCAGCUAUGCCGCGAGAGUGAUGAAGGCCUUAGGGUUGUAAAGCUCUUUUACCCGGGAUGAUAAUGACAUUACCGAGAGAAUAAGCUCCGGCUAACUCCGUG